RNAcentral lists this transfer RNA (77 nucleotides) under Sphingomonas sp. RNAcentral's name for it is "tRNA-Arg". It matches the Rfam family "tRNA". From Rfam's summary of the family: Transfer RNA (tRNA) molecules are approximately 80 nucleotides in length. Their secondary structure includes four short double-helical elements and three loops (D, anti-codon, and T loops). The record is from RNAcentral. RNAcentral also lists the same sequence under 16 other names. Lineage: Bacteria; Pseudomonadati; Pseudomonadota; Alphaproteobacteria; Sphingomonadales; Sphingomonadaceae.
GCACCCGUAGCUCAGCUGGAUAGAGCGUCGCCCUCCGAAGGCGAAGGCCACUGGUUCGAAUCCAGUCGGGUGCACCA